AAGAAAUUCCGCCAUGAUAACAAGUUCGUGCUUUUAGAUUCCAUCUUUUACUGACAGAGUAAAAGCCUUGAAAUCUCACUUAACAAAAAAGAAAAGCAGUGAUCUACAAGUAUUUUUUUCAGUCCUCAAACCUUUGCUCUGGUGCUGCAUAUCAGUAUCUGACGUAAAAAGCAACGUGGUAUGCCAUUAUUUUGUGUCUGAACAAGUUCUAUGGCAUUGUAAUAUGCUGUCAUACAUUGCAUGGUACUGUCAAAUACGCAUAGAUUAUCAUCAAUUGUCACGAGAUUGGGGAUGAUGCAUUGAUCAAGGUCUCGAUACAAAGCUUCGGAGGAAUCUGCCCAAAUUCUCUCACCAAAUCAACCUUUGAAGCUCAUUUUUGGGAACAGAUACUUGGGAUGGAAAUGCUUUACUUACAAACUUCACUAAUUUUGGAUUUUGAUUCUCUACCAUACAAUCAAUCAGUUUUGUAGGCAUCAACAUAUCUCUACUCGGUAUUAAAUAUAACUCACUAGACUA
Long non-coding RNA from Populus euphratica (Euphrates poplar), 516 nucleotides. RefSeq lists it as uncharacterized. Lineage: Eukaryota; Viridiplantae; Streptophyta; Magnoliopsida; Malpighiales; Salicaceae. The record is from RefSeq and is a predicted model, not a curated record. The transcript is spliced from 2 exons.